GAGAGAGAGAGAGAGAGAGCAAAGCCUAUCCACCUCAUUAAUGGUGAAAUCUGUAGUGAGUACAAUCCAAAAUAGUUUUUAAGCUUUUAAUCUACUAAAAUAUAUGAUUCUUUGAAGAACUUCCACGGCUUAAUUUGCCGGAGCUCUUUAUCCUGUUACUCCAUGAAAUCUUAGAAGAGACUCGAUUAAUCCCGAGCAUGGCUUCGAGCUCUGGCGAGGCAAAGAAUUCCUUCACAGUCCUAAUCUUGUUGGGGCCGUUACCUUUGACAGCAAGUGAAAGCUUACUCUUUCUCGGGGCAGGAGGACACGUCAUCACAUCAGGUAUCUUAUGCUCCUUGGCUGUAGGGGUCGUACAAUCGAAUGUCGUCGUCUCUGUUUUUAUAUGUUCUUCAAGGAGAUUGAUUCCUUCUCCUUUUCCUCCUUCCAAUUCGUCUAUGACAAGCUGUGCAAGCUUUAUCGACACAGUAGGUUUUUUGUCAUCUUGUCUGCUAAAAAUCAUCAUCUUCUUCCUGAGAAUUGCAGGAAACAAUGAAUUAAGGCGGUGAUGGAGAUUUGAGAAAGAGUAUAAGAACAGGGGUGAAGUAGAAGUAGCGGAAAGGGGGAGGAGACUUGUUUGACUUGACCCAACUAUUUGACUAGAAUUUGAACUUAUAGGCGUUGACCUUGUCAGUACGAGUUUCAAAA
Molecule: unclassified non-coding RNA, 684 nt
Filed under: Hevea brasiliensis (rubber tree)
Lineage: Eukaryota; Viridiplantae; Streptophyta; Magnoliopsida; Malpighiales; Euphorbiaceae
Source: RNAcentral